AACUUUUAACGACGGAUCUCUUGGUUCUCGCAUCGAUGAAGAACGUAGCAAAGUGCGAUAACUAGUGUGAAUUGCAUAUUCAGUGAAUCAUCGAGUCUUUGAACGCAUCUUGCGGUCGUUGGUAUUCCAACGACCACGCCUGUUUCAGUA
RNAcentral lists this ribosomal RNA (150 nucleotides) under Mucor sp. CBS 125018. Its description in RNAcentral is "5.8S ribosomal RNA". It matches the Rfam family "5.8S ribosomal RNA". Rfam says of the family: 5.8S ribosomal RNA (5.8S rRNA) is a component of the large subunit of the eukaryotic ribosome. It is transcribed by RNA polymerase I as part of the 45S precursor that also contains 18S and 28S rRNA. Functionally, it is thought that 5.8S rRNA may be involved in ribosome translocation. The record is from RNAcentral. Lineage: Eukaryota; Fungi; Mucoromycota; Mucoromycetes; Mucorales; Mucoraceae.